RNAcentral lists this ribosomal RNA (497 nucleotides) under uncultured bacterium. Its description in RNAcentral is "partial 16S ribosomal RNA". It matches the Rfam family "Bacterial small subunit ribosomal RNA", at positions 28 to 507 of the family's 1533-position model. The record is from RNAcentral.
GAUGAACGCUGGCGGCGUGCCUAAUACAUGCAAGUCGAGCGAACAGACGAUGAGCUUGCUCCUCUGACGUUAGCGGCGGACGGGUGAGUAACACGUGGAUAACCUACCUAUAAGACUGGGAUAACUUCGGGAAACCGGAUCUAAUACCGGAUAAUAUAUUGAACCGCAUGGUUCAAUAGUGAAAGACGGUUUUGCUGUCACUUAUAGAUGGAUCCGCGCCGCAUUAGCUAGUUGGUAAGGUAACGGCUUACCAAGGCAACGAUGCGUAGCCGACCUGAGAGGGUGAUCGGCCACACUGGAACUGAGACACGGUCCAGACUCCUACGGGAGGCAGCAGUAGGGAAUCUUCCGCAAUGGGCGAAAGCUUGACGGAGCAACGCCGCGUGAGUGAUGAAGGUCUUCGGAUCGUAAAACUCUGUUAUUAGGGAAGAACAAAUGUGUAAGUAACUAUGCACGUCUUGACGGUACCUAAUCAGAAAGCCACGGCUAACUACGUG